This is a long non-coding RNA of Rosa chinensis, 1980 nucleotides long. RefSeq lists it as uncharacterized. The transcript is spliced from 7 exons. Lineage: Eukaryota; Viridiplantae; Streptophyta; Magnoliopsida; Rosales; Rosaceae. The record is from RefSeq and is a predicted model, not a curated record.
CAUUCGUAUCAGGGCUUCUCUCUCAAAUUCAGAAGAAUCAGAAACGACUCCAACUGUUCUCGCAAUCCAAAAGAAAGAAAGAAAGAAAAUCCAAUUCCAAUUCCAAACAACUCCGAUCGUCUUCUCCAGCUUACAAGGUGGUGGAGGAAGUUUUGUUGGUGUGAUAGAAAGGGGAAGAAGAGGGAUUGAAAUCGGCAGUGUUGGAAAGUUUGCAGCUUUGAUCGGGUAAUUUUCUCGCGUGAUUCUCAGGUCCGAUUGCACCCGUAUGAGAAUAUGGAUGCCAAAAUCAACUGGGCUUUAGAGCAGGCCUUCAAUUUGAAGCUUGAUUUCAGUGAGACUGGGGAUGAUUUUGUUGUUUUUCCAAGACUGAUGCUGGAAUGAUGCUCAGGAAAUGCUUUAAGGAGAGUUACAUCUUACAACCUAGAUAUGGGCUUUUGAACAUCAAGCCUGAAGGUUGCUCAGGAGUUAUUGGCAGAAGAUGCAUUGAGGCAGCCAAAAUGAGAGCUGGGAGUUACAGUGGAGAAAUAAAACGUGACUUAAGUGUGGCAAUAGCCCUUACCCGAUGACAGAAUUUCCAUCACCUGAAGCUUUAUAACAUCAGAUUCCGGUGGGUUUGGAAAAGGAACAGAUUUUUGUUAUGGCAGGAAAGGAGAUGAACUACAGGGUUGAGUUGUUCAACAAAAAGGAAACCCCUCAUGAUUUUAUAAUUUGGACAAUCAUAUGCAUAAGUUCAAGGGAAGUAGUGCAAGCUUUACUGGCUUUUGUUUGAAUGUUAAUAAUCUAGGUGGAGAGAUUCCUCCUGAGAUCGGAAAGAUGGGCAGCUUGGAAGGUUAACUCUAUUUCUUUCAGCAAGGUUUUUUUUUUUUUGAUGAAUUUGAUUUUUGAACGCAUUUGAUUAGUUUGUUGUUGAUUGUGUUAAAUGACUUUAUGAGUAUUUUUGUGUAGUUUAUAUGCUUUUGUUGUGAAGAUUUUAACUUUGUUUGUAGGAAGAAAAAAAACUAUUGGUAAGUACUUUUCUGAGUCAUUUUUAUCAUUAUUGGUUUUUGACAAAUCUUUUCUUGCUAAGAACCCUGAUUUAACUGUAGGUGGGUAUAUUUUAUGCCAUAAACAGUACAAAGAAAAGUUCGGUUUAGGUAAGGUGUUUAUGAUGGUUUUUGGGUGGUAUGUUCUGUUUUGAAUGCAAACUUUGAAAUCGGUGUAGUUUUUGUACCGUAAGAUUGCCACCUUGCUGACUUGAUUAUGUGCCAAAGUGGAGAGGACAAAAAAGCUAAAUUGAAAAUAAAGGUUGCAGAAGAAAUGCAGACAGAGAAGAAGGGAAAAUUAUUGCUGCUAUUCUUCUUUUAGAGGCUUUAGGUUUUAUCCCAGCUUCUGUAUCUUUGGGAAGUUCCUUGGUUUCUGUUUUGUAUCUAUCUUUGUACUUAUUGUUUUAGUAGUGUACUUUUUUGAAUAAAAUUUUGACAUACAUCAGAAAGAGAGAGGAAAAGCCUUCUGAUGGUCAUUGGUUUCUCCUCAUUGUUUUGAAUUCUGUCUUCAUUAAUUAUGAUUGGUUUAGAUUCUAGGUGAAAUCAUUGAGCUAAAUCAAACAGUAUGUAGGUAAGUAGAAAAGCUAAAAUGGAUUUAUUCUAAUGAAAAAAAAAAAUGUAUCAGUCUUUGUAAAUGAAGAUGAAGGUUUUCCAAUUGGACAGAUAAUGAUAAUACUAUUGCUUCAUAAUUAACAACAAACAAUUGUAUAUAAGAUUAUGUGGGAAAGAAACUGGGGUAAACAACAAUAAUGUGAACUCAUAAACAAUUUUAGAGAAACGAGACUAUGUCUCUUAUUUUAUCAUUUUGAUCAAGAAUCAAUGAUUUUCAUUCACAUACGCUAUUAUUGUAAUUUGAUAGUAACAAUAAACCCCGCUGCAAAGCGGGGGCACUAUUGCUAGUAUGAUUCGAAACUCCAAUGUGUUCAAAAAUAUGUUUUGUGCCGACCAGUCAUGGUUU